UACGGAGGGUGCAAGCGUUAUCCGGAUUCACUGGGUUUAAAGGGUGCGUAGGUGGGUCUGUAAGUCAGUGGUGAAAUCUCCGAGCUUAACUUGGAAACUGCCGUUGAUACUAUAGACCUUGAAUGCUGUGGAGGUGAGCGGAAUAUGUCAUGUAGCGGUGAAAUGCUUAGAUAUGACAUAGAACACCAAUUGCGAAGGCAGCUCACUACCCAGAUAUUGACACUGAGGCACGAAAGCGUGGGGAUCAAACAGG
This 253-nucleotide ribosomal RNA is filed under the name uncultured bacterium. RNAcentral's name for it is "partial 16S ribosomal RNA". It matches the Rfam family "Bacterial small subunit ribosomal RNA", at positions 524 to 776 of the family's 1533-position model. The record is from RNAcentral.